This 253-nucleotide ribosomal RNA is filed under the name uncultured bacterium. RNAcentral describes it as "partial 16S ribosomal RNA". It matches the Rfam family "Bacterial small subunit ribosomal RNA", at positions 524 to 776 of the family's 1533-position model. The record is from RNAcentral.
UACGUAGGAUCCGAGCGUUGUCCGGAGUUACUGGGUGUAAAGCGUGCGCAGGCGGUUUUGUAAGUCAGAUGUGAAAUCCCCGGGCUCAACCUGGGAACUGCGUUUGAAACUACAAGACUAGAGUGUAGCAGAGGGGCGUGGAAUUCCACGUGUAGCAGUGAAAUGCGUAGAGAUGUGGAGGAACACCGAUGGCGAAGGCAGCCCCCUGGGUUAACACUGACGCUCAGGCACGAAAGCGUGGGGAGCAAACAGG